Molecule: ribosomal RNA, 253 nt
Filed under: uncultured bacterium
Lineage: Bacteria
Description: partial 16S ribosomal RNA
Rfam family: Bacterial small subunit ribosomal RNA
Source: RNAcentral
UACGUAGGGUGCAAGCGUUAAUCGGAAUUACUGGGCGUAAAGCGUGCGCAGGCGGUGAUGUAAGACAGAUGUGAAAUCCCCGGGCUCAACCUGGGAACUGCAUUUGUGACUGCAUCGCUGGAGUACGGCAGAGGGGGAUGGAAUUCCGCGUGUAGCAGUGAAAUGCGUAGAUAUGCGGAGGAACACCGAUGGCGAAGGCAAUCCCCUGGGCCUGUACUGACGCUGAGGCGCGAAAGCUAGGGGAGCGAACGGG